ACCAUGGCCUCAGAUCAGACAUGGUGACCUGCUGAAUUUAAGCAUAUUACUAAGCAGAGGAAAAUAAACUAACCAGGAUUCUCUCAGUAACGGCCAGUGAAAAGGGAAGAGGGAAGAGCCCAGCGCCGCAUCCCCAUUCAGCAGCAGGCAUGGGAAAUGUGGUGUACAGAAGACCAACUCCCCGGCAUCACUCAGGGGGCUCAGGUCCUUCGAAUCGAGGCUCACCACGCAGAUGGAGUUAGUCCGGUAGCGGCCUCUUCCACACCGGGAUUAGGCCUUCUUGGAGUCAGGUUGCUUGGGAAUACAGCCCAGAGAGUGUUACAGCCCCCUGACAGCAGUUUUGCUGUGUCCACAGGGCUGAAGGAGAUAGACUGCCACUGUGCCCUUAUCCGGCAACAGUCCUGGCCCCUCUUGGGGGUUGCUAGAGUGGCGACAGGAGAAAGGGCUCCCGAUGUGACUGUGGUGGACUGCCGCGACUACGGUGUGCUGCCGGGUGGGGAGGCCCACAAAGGCCGCCCAGGGUCUGAGGUGAUGUUGGUUAACCACCCAACCUGUCUUGAAACACUGACCAAGGAGCAUAACACGUGCAUGAGUCAGAGGGCCGAAUGAAACCCUGUGAUGUAAUGAUGGUGAGGGCAGGUGCUCGCCGAUUGCAGUGGCAUCCUGUCACAGAGGGCCUUCCACCGACGCGUCUCACCCGCUCUGUCAGAGAGAUGAUGCAUGAGCGUGUGUGAUAGGACCCGAAAGAUGGUGAACUCAGCCUGGUGGAGGUCCGUAGUGGUCCUGAUGUGUAAAUCGGUCACCCAGCCUGGGUAUAGGGGCAAAAGACCAAUCGAACGAUUUAGUAGCUGGUUCUCUCCGAAGUUUCCCCUCAGGAUAGCUGGGGCACAGAAACCCCAGCUUUAUCUAGCAAAGCGAAUGAUUAGAUGUCUUGGGGUCAAAAUGAUCUCAACCUACUCUCAAACUUUAAAUGGGUAUGAAGCCUGGCUCGCUGGCGUGGAGCCGGGUCAAAAUUAUCUCAACCUACUCUCAAACUUUAAAUGGGUAUGAAGCCUAGCUCGCUGGCGUGGAGCCGGGUAUUGUAUGAAAGUGCUCAGUGGGCAACUUUUGGUAAGCAGAACUGGGGCUGCGGGAUGAACCGAACACCAGGUUAAGGCGCAUGAUGCAGACGCUCAUCAGACCCCAGAAACGGUGUUGGUUGAUAUAGACAGCAGGAUGGUGGCCAUGGAAGUCGGAAUCCGCUAAGCAAUGUGUAACAACUCACCUGCCGAAUCAACUAGCCCUGAAAAUAGAUGGCGCUGGAGUGUCAGGCCCAUUACCGGCUGGCGCUGAGAGCCGCGGGGGCUAAGUCAGGCGAGUAGGAGGGCUGCUGCGGUACACACAGAAACCUGGGUCGAGGUCCCGGGUGGAGCCGCCACAGGUGCAGAUCAUGGUGGUAGUGGCAAAUAUUCAAACAAAAACUUUGAAUGAUGAAGUGGAGAAGGGUUCCAUGUGAACAGAAGUUGAACAUGGGUCUGUCGGUCCUGAGACAUGGGCGAGCGCCGUUUCAAAGGGAUGGGCUAUGGCCUCAGUUGCCCUCAGCCGAUCGAAAGGGAGUCGGUUUCAGAUCCCCGAACCCAGAGUGGCGGGGACGGGCGUCCAGUGCAGUAACGCAAAUGAUCCCAGAGAAGCCGGUGGGAGCCGCAGGAAGAGUUCUUUUCUUUGUGAAGGGCAGGGCACCCUGGAAAGGGUUUUCCCUGAUAAGGGGGCCCGAGCCUUGGGAAGCAUCACGGUUCUGGCGGCAUCCGGCGAGCUCUCGCUAGUCCCUGAAAAUCUGGGUGAGAUGUUGUAAAUCUCGCCCCACGCCGUACCCAUAUCCGCAGCAGGUCUCCAAGGCGGACAACCUCUGGCAUGUCAGCACAAUGUAGGUAUGGGAAGUCGGCAAGUUCGAUCCGUAACUUCGGGAUAAGGAUUGGCUCUAAGGGCUGGGUCGGUCGGGCUGGGGCGCAAAGCAGGGCUGGGUGCGCACCAUGGCUGGAUGAAGCGUCGCCCCCCCAGGGGGACGGCAUUGCCUCUGGAUGCGAACCGGGCCCAUCCUGUGAAUCACCCCAGCUGCAGUGUUCGUCUCUCGUUUCCCCUCCUGGGGUUCAAGGCCGGCAUUCUGCCUUGGCUGACACCUAGCAGCUGACUUGGAACUGGUGCGGAACAGGGAAAUCUGACUGUUUUAAUUAAAACAAAACAUUGCGAAGGCCCAUGGAGGGUGUUGACGUAAUGUGAUUUCUGCCAAGUGCUCUGAAUGUCAAAAUGAAGAAAUUCAAUGAAGCUUGGGUAAAUGGCUGGGGCAACUAUGACUCUUAAGGUAGCCCCAUUAAAGUAGCCAAAUGCCUUGUCAUCUAAUUAGUGAUGUGCAUGAAUGGAUGAAUGAGAUUCCCACUGUCCCCAUCUACUAUCUAACGAAAACAGCCAAGGGAACAAGCUUGCAGAAUCGUCGGGGAAAGAAGACCCAGUUGAGUUUGACUCCAGUCUGGCACUGUCAAGAGACUUGAGAGGUAGUAUAAGUGGGAGGCCCUCGGGCCGCUGGUGAAAUACCACUUCUCUUAUCGUUUUUCCACUUACCCGGUGAGGCAGGGGGCGAAUCCCGUGGGGCUCUCGCUUCUGGCUCCAAUCACCCAGCACCUGCCAGGCACAACCUGCUAAGGGACAGUGGCAGGUGGGGAGUUUGACUGGGAUGGUAAACCUGUCAAAGGAUAACGCAGGUGUCCUAAGGCGAACUCAGGGAGGACAGAAACCUCCCGCGGAGCAGAAGGGCAAAAGCUAGCUUGAUCUCAAUUUUUCUGUAUGAAUACAGACCCUGAAAGCGGGGCUUCACGAUCCUGCAGACUUUUUGGGUUUCAAGCAGGAGGUGUCAGAAAAGUUACCACAGGGAUAUCUGGCUUGUGGCGGCCAAGCCUUCAUAGCGACGCCGCUUUUUGAUCCUUCGAUGUCGACUCUUCCUAUCAUUGUGGAACAGAAUUCACCAAGAGUUGGAUGGUUCACCCGCUAAUAGGGAACGUGAGGUGGAUUUAGACCGUUGACAGGUUAGUUUUACCCUACUGAUGAUGUGUUGUUGCAAUAGUAAUCCUGCUCAGUAGAGAGGAACCGCAGGUUCAGACGUUUGGUGUAUGUGCUUGGCUGAGGAGCCAAUGGGGCGAAGCUACCAUCCGUGGGAUUAUGACUCAAUGCCUCUAAAUAAGAAAUCUCCCCCCCCAGACUGUGAUACCGCAGCGCGGUCGAGCAUCGGUUGGCUUAGGAUAGCCGGCCUCGGGGCCGGUGUGUAGAGCCGCUCACCGCUCACCUCGGGACUUGAGUGUGGACAGAAGGGGGCCACCUCUCUCACCCAUAGUGCAGCGCAUUUUCG
This 3376-nucleotide ribosomal RNA is filed under the name Ambystoma mexicanum (axolotl). RNAcentral's name for it is "eukaryotic LSU rRNA". It matches the Rfam family "Eukaryotic large subunit ribosomal RNA". The record is from RNAcentral. Lineage: Eukaryota; Metazoa; Chordata; Amphibia; Caudata; Ambystomatidae.